UUGAUUGAAUUGAUUUACCUUGAGUUAGGGUUGAGAAUAAUUAUAUGUGUUGAAAAGGUUCAAGUUUGGGGUUGAAUGGGGAAAGUGAAAGGCAAAAGAAAAAGAAAAGCAUUGAGUUCAAAAGAAUGAAAAAGAAAGAUGCAUGUGAAAGAAAAGAAAAGAAGAAAAGAGAAAAAUAAUGUUAAGUGAAUUCAAUGUAAAAUGAAAAAGGGAAAAGUUGGGAAUGAGUGAGAUUGGUCAAAAAGAGAGUGUGCUUGAACUUUGAAUAAUGAUUUAAACUCUCUUAACUCAAGGAUUUUGUAUUCCAGAAAAACUAAUUUUUCUCGAUAGCCCAGCC
This 337-nucleotide long non-coding RNA is filed under the name Vigna radiata. RNAcentral's name for it is "long non-coding RNA (VRAD_LNC008269)". Lineage: Eukaryota; Viridiplantae; Streptophyta; Magnoliopsida; Fabales; Fabaceae. The record is from RNAcentral.